CAGCCGCCGCGGGAAUACGUAGGUGGCAAGCGUUGUCCGGAAUUAUUGGGCGUAAAGGGCUCGCAGGCGGUUUCUUCAGUCUGACGUGAAAGCCCCCGGCUCAACCGGGGAGGGUCAUUGGAAACUGGGAAACUUGAGUGCAGAAGAGGAGAGUGGAAUUCCACGUGUAGCGGUGAAAUGCGUAGAGAUGUGGAGGAACACCAGUGGCGAAGGCGACUCUCUGGUCUGUAACUGACGCUGAGGAGCGAAAGCGUGGGGAGCGAACAGGAUUAGAUACCCCUGUAGUCCCUGUCUCUUAUAC
RNAcentral lists this ribosomal RNA (301 nucleotides) under uncultured bacterium. Its description in RNAcentral is "partial 16S ribosomal RNA". It matches the Rfam family "Bacterial small subunit ribosomal RNA", at positions 509 to 807 of the family's 1533-position model. The record is from RNAcentral.